RNAcentral lists this ribosomal RNA (433 nucleotides) under uncultured bacterium. RNAcentral describes it as "partial 16S ribosomal RNA". It matches the Rfam family "Bacterial small subunit ribosomal RNA", at positions 29 to 507 of the family's 1533-position model. The record is from RNAcentral.
AACGAACGCUGGCGGCAUGCCUAACACAUGCAAGUCGAACGAGACCUUCGGGUCUAGUGGCGCACGGGUGCGUAACGCGUGGGAACCUGCCCUUAGGUUCGGAAUACCUCCCCGAAAGGGGUGCUAAUACCGGAUAAUGUCUUCGGACCAAAGAUUUAUCGCCUUUGGAUGGGCCCGCGUUGGAUUAGCUAGUUGGUAGGGUAAAAGCCUACCAAGGCGACGAUCCAUAGCUGGUCGGAGAGGAUGAUCAGCCACACUGGGACUGAGACACGGCCCAGACUCGUACGGGAGGGAGGAGAGGGGAAUAUUGGACGAGGGGCGAAAGCCUGAUCCAGCAAUGCCGCGUGAGUGAUGAAGGCCUUAGGGUUGUAAAGCUCUUUUACCCGGGAUGAUAAUGACAGUACCGGGAGAAUAAGCUCCGGCUAACUCCGUG